GACGAACGCUGGCGGCGUGCCUAAUACAUGCAAGUCGAACGCUUUGAUUUUCACCGGAGCUUGCUCCACCGAAAAUCAAAGAGUAGCGGACGGGUGAGUAACGCGUGGGCAACCUGCCCAACAGAGGGGGAUAACACUUGGAAACAGGUGCUAAUACCGCAUAAUUUGUUUUCCCGCAUGGGAGAAUAAUAAAAGACGCUUCGGUGUCACUGUUGGAUGGGCCCGCGCUGCAUUAGUUAGUUGGUGGGGUAAUGGCCUACCAAGACCGUGAUGCAUAGCCGACCUGAGAGGGUGAUCGGCCACACUGGGACUGAGACACGGCCCAGACUCCUACGGGAGGCAGCAGUAGGGAAUCUUCGGCAAUGGACGAAAGUCUGACCGAGCAACGCCGCGUGAGUGAAGAAGGUUUUCGGAUCGUAAAACUCUGUUGUUAGAGAAGAACAAGUGGGAGAGUAACUGUUCCCACCUUGACGGUAUCUAACCAGAAAGCCACGGCUAACUACGUGCCAGCAGCCGCGGUAAUACGUAGGUGGCAAGCGUUGUCCGGAUUUAUUGGGCGUAAAGCGAGCGCAGGCGGUUUCUUAAGUCUGAUGUGAAAGCCCUCGGCUCAACCGAGGAAGGUCAUUGGAAACUGGGGAACUUGAAUGCAGAGGAGGAGAGUGGAAUUCCAUGUGUAGCGGUGAAAUGCGUAGAUAUAUGGAGGAACACCAGUGGCGAAGGCGACUCUCUGGUCUGUAAUUGACGCUGAGGCUCGAAAGCGUGGGGAGCAAACAGG
This 775-nucleotide ribosomal RNA is filed under the name uncultured bacterium. RNAcentral describes it as "bacterial SSU rRNA". It matches the Rfam family "Bacterial small subunit ribosomal RNA", at positions 28 to 776 of the family's 1533-position model. The record is from RNAcentral.